AUGCCUUUGCCACAAAAUUCUGUUCUUGGGGCUAAAGAUCUGCCAAGGGCCAUGCUUAGCGAUCAUAUAGAAGAACAACUCUUUAAACGGCUCAAUGAAGAGAGACACGAACGGGCUAUUCAUGAUGGGAAAAGUUUUGAUGAGGUUAGUGCUGCCUCAUCAAUUUACAGAAUCUUACGUUUAUGGAUCCUAUGUUUUCUUUUUCUUGUUUAUAUCUUGGUUUCCUUUCCUGAAUAUGAAAUAUGUGGUUUGUGUACUUCUUACAAACAGAGAUGUGUUGCUCCUUCUGCAUACUUUUAUUCCUUUUUUUUUCAGAAUUUGACUGUAUUUAAGUGUUUUUUUGCUAGAUCCUUGUUUCAUGCACGUGCACUUUUUUUGGGGAAUCGGGAGCUUUUCCGGACUGAAUAA
This 408-nucleotide ribosomal RNA is filed under the name Triticum aestivum (bread wheat). RNAcentral's name for it is "partial small subunit ribosomal RNA". Lineage: Eukaryota; Viridiplantae; Streptophyta; Magnoliopsida; Poales; Poaceae. The record is from RNAcentral.